Molecule: long non-coding RNA, 1807 nt
Filed under: Lynx pardinus (Iberian lynx)
Lineage: Eukaryota; Metazoa; Chordata; Mammalia; Carnivora; Felidae
Source: RNAcentral
UUUGUUUGUUUGUUUCGAAUACUAAUGGACGAUAAAACCAUACGGAUGUGCCCCCUCCUAGUGAAGAGCAAGCAACUACCCACCGAUCCCCCCCCAAGCACGCCCAGACACUCCCGGGGACAACCGGAUAUGGCAGGAGUUGAGAUGCCCAAGAUGGAGCUGGGAGAGUUGAUCCACCAUACAGGAGGAGGAGGGUCGAGGAGGCUGGAGCUCUCAGCUCUUGCCGGCAGCGGACCACGCAGCUCUGCACCUCUCCUUUCCUCCUUGCGAGGCGCCAGGGCCCUCCCGGUCGUGGCACUUCAAAGGUAGGAGGAGAAAAUGCUGGGGACAAGAAUACACAGGCGGCCAGAAGGUUCCACUAGGGUCAGCAAGAGCCUGCUGGGACUCUAAAUCCAGGUUUCCUCCCUGCGUGGUGCCGUCGGUGGUGCAAGGGAUGCGAAGACUGAAUUUCUGAGAAGUCGAAGCUGCAGGAGAAAACAAACAAAAACAACAAAAUGGGAAGCCUGCGACGCUCUCUCGCGCGGCGUUCCCAGACCAGCUCUAAGCUAAGCUACGCCCCAGACACCUUUUCCCUUUGGAGGACGCCUUUCCUGGGCGCGACGUGCACGUACCCGCACUGAGUUCUUGCCCACAAGGGCAGCUCUGAGCCCUGGAGAGCGAGGUGCUUCGAAGAAGGCAGGCACACUCGCAUGCUUUCCCAUGUAGAGCUUUGCGUUUCUUUUAGUACUUUGGAUUCCUAGUGAGGGGUACAAGGCGCCACUCCUCUCCUGACCCUAUUUCCACUACACCGCGUCUGAUCCCACAGUUACUCGCGGGGUAUCUACACUCACAGCUUUUGCGCUCAGGGAAAGUUGUUUGCGAGGAAAAUGAGUGGGGACCUUCUGAGAAGCUCCCAGGGCAAGUCCCUUUAAGGAAGGAAUUGAAGUAGAAAAGAAAGCACAAAUAUGGUAUCUCUGCACUCGACAUUCUCUCACUAGCAAGAGAAUGUGUGACUACUGUUCUUCCCUUCAUUGUUCCAUGAAUUAUCCUCUUUCCAUAGGGAUACACCAGUUGGUGAUUAAGGGCUUGUUAUGCAUUUAACAAAAUUCAAUAUGUCUGCUGGUGGCAUUGUUUUAUUGGGAAAUUGGGAAACUAGAGAGAGCCACAUAAUCUAGUAACUAGGUGAUCUUUGGAAAGUUAGCCUCAUGCUGCUGGUUGACUAGUAAGUGUAUAAGAUUUGAAAGAAAGGAAGCUGGGGGCCUAGUGAUAGAGUUUUCCGGAAAUGAAAGGUAAUACUCUGGCAUUCGUUGAGAGACUGAGGAAGAACUUUUAAAAACAAGCUAUUUCAUUCAGUUCUUUGCCAGUGGGACUUUAGCUUAUGAUUGCAUUCGCUUCAUAAAUGAAUAAUAAUUUUUUAAGUGGAAUAAUUGUAAAUGUUAGUGAUGAAAUCUAAAGGAAACCUCUACUCAUCUCAUGGUCAACAACAAGUAUUUGAUUUUCUUGGUUCAAGUGGUUUCAAUACUUAUCUCAUUGCUCUCUUUCCUUUGCAGAAUUAUCUUCUUAUAAAAGUUUCCAUUAGGUGUCAGUCUGACUGAGCUGGUUCCUAUUUAAAUUUGAAAAGAAAAAAAAAACAUUUUUUAAAAACUAAAUUGGGCCUUUAUAGAUAAGGGGGAAAGGCCCAAAACUUUAUUCAGUUGAAAUUGCUGUAGUUAAUUGUUUUAUUACAGUCAACUUGUUUUCCUCAGAAAAGAGAAUUUGAAAGUAUAUCACUACUAGCUGGUUGUCACUUUUGCCCUGUCAGUAUUCAUAGACAAGAUUAAAGAAGUGC